CGGGAACUCACCAGCUGUGUAAGUGGCCUUCACUGUGGACUAGAGCACUUCCCAGAAUCAGUGUCCAACCAAAUGUGAUGACACUGUAGCCCAAAAGAGGUGAAAUGACUUGCCCAAGGGCGUACAGUCAGAGUGGAAGAGUUCAGAUUCAGAUCCAAGCCCUUCUGAUUCAAGUGGAGGAUGAUGAAGGCUGAGAGUGACUGUAAGAAAAUACAAGAAGGAAUAAGAAGUUUUGGGAGAAGAUGGUGAGCUACUUUUAGGACAGGCCAAUUUGGGGUCCUUCUGGAAAUAGAGUUGUCCAACACUGAAUUGGUUCUACAAAUAUGAAACUCAACAGCAAGGCGCAUUCUGGAGAGGAAAACUCGGAAGUCAUCAGCCCAGUUGUUGAAGCCAUGAGAGGGAUGGUUCAUCAAGAGAGAUGGUCUAGCCUCAGAUGAAAGCAAAAGGAGAGAAAAGAUAUAUGGCCCUUUAACAAUGCAGAAAUUAUCCCAAAACUGAUGGCAUACAUAUGUACAUUACCCAUUCACCCUUGCAGCUCAGGAGUGAAUUAUGUAACACCAUCUUGACUCCUAAUAUUAAAUCAUAUGAGUGGACAUGAAAUGCCAAUUUAUACUCAGCACUAGAAAAUGCUUUUCAUGAUACGUACUUUUAAGGGAUUUAUUUUCUUUUCUUAUUGAGUUUCUAAAUCAUUUAUUUCCCUGUGGUUUAAAAAUAAAAAAUACAAUAUAUUUGGACAAGGAAUGU
Manis javanica (Malayan pangolin) is the source of this 744-nucleotide non-coding RNA. The record is from RefSeq and is a predicted model, not a curated record. Lineage: Eukaryota; Metazoa; Chordata; Mammalia; Pholidota; Manidae.